Cucurbita maxima (winter squash) is the source of this 1174-nucleotide RNA transcript. It is a transcript of the gene named golgin candidate 6-like, with no coding region annotated. The transcript has 6 exons. The record is from RefSeq and is a predicted model, not a curated record. Lineage: Eukaryota; Viridiplantae; Streptophyta; Magnoliopsida; Cucurbitales; Cucurbitaceae.
GUCCGAAUUUCCGUUUUGGGCAAGUGCUCGUGAAAGAAAGCACGAUACACUCCAUCGCUGUCAACCGAAGAUCGACGGACGCAUAGAUUAGCCACUCUGUUUCGAACUUCAGGAUUUAUUUAACGAUUUGAUUGGAGCUCUCACUAUUAGAGAUUGCAUGUAAACAUUUCCAACGCUUGGAUUGUGUUCGGAGUGAUUGCGUUGGCUUCUGUUUAUGGAUUUUUGAUAUUCUUACUCGAUUAUGGAUUUGGUCUCUGGUUACAAGUUGAUCUCACUCUCUUAUCUGCAUCCGAAGUUUCAUGGAUUAUGAUGUUUAGGACAGUAAUUUGGUGCUUGUUUAUAGUUUUUUAUACGAUCUUUAGUAUUGUGGUUUAUCUGUGGGCUUUGUGCAGGGCGUGGUUGGGCUUGUUUUCGGCAAUGAGAAUUCUGCAUCCAAUAAAGAUAGCAAUGGUCAGCUUGCAGAGGACAGGAGAGCUGCUAUGGUGGAGCUGCAGUCUGUUGUAGUAGAAAAUCGUUCUGCCCAACUAGCUUUUGGUGCAAUGGGAUUUCCUGUGCUUAUGAGUGUUUUAAAGGAGGAACGAGAUGGUGUUGAAAUGGUUGCAGUUUAUCUGUUCUUUGCUUCCCUUUUAUUGAGGAAUUAAAUCUUGCUUUAGGACUUCUAGUUGUGCUUUCAUUCUGAAAAAAGUACAUGUUAUUGCCGUUUCAAGAAGUAUUGGAACAAUUAAAGAUAAUAUUACAUGGUUCUAGGGGCCCUUGCAACUCUUGUAAGUGCAUUAACUCCUCUCGAUCAUGCAAUGGGUCCAGGGAUAAAGUUCAAAUCUGAUGAACUCUGAUUUGGUUUCAAGGGAAUCAGACAGCAUCUCUCUUCUUUAAGUCUUUUGUCAGAAGAGGAUUUUUUAUGUUAGAUAUUAUGCUCUUCAACUGUUGACAGCUCUUCUUUCAAAUUCUCCCACGAGGUAUAUUUAUUUUGCGACUCUUUCGAAAUGCUUUUUACUAUUCUCAUUAGUUGAAUUGCUGAUUUUCCUCUUAGGAUUGCAGGAAGCGAUUUUCAGCAUUCCUCGCAGUAUAACUCGACUUAUGGACAUGCCUAUGGACCGCGAGGUAUACUUUGGCUAACUAAUAUAGAUAAGAACAGAAAAGUUAUAACACGGGACUCACUGAUCUCUGAGCAUAA